AUAUAUUAUAUAAACUUGUGGCCCAAAUCUCCUUGACUUCUUCCAAUGCGGCCCAGAGAAACAAAAAGGUUGGACACCCCUGGUGUAAAAAUUGUAAGUACUGAAAAUACUGGCAGUCAAUUACAAUGUGUUUUUGAAAUUUGCUUGCUGAGCAUAUGUUGGAUUACUUUAGACCAAACUUUUUCAGCUUUAAGUGUUAUAGGUAAAUAUAUGUUGUAUUUUUUUCUUACAAAAAGAAAUUAUCUUUUAUAAGUUAUAUUUUAUCUCAAUAAGAAAAUCUAGUCAACUACCUGGAUUAUAUAAAAAAGUUCUGCUCUAUUCAUUCAAGCUACAUAUUCUGUUCACACCUUCUUUUUUGUUAAGGCUUCUGCUUUCAUAUUUAUUUCUAAAACAUUAUGAAGGAAGUGCUAAAAAGUUCAAUUGGGUAUAAUAAUAUUUACAUUGAAUAUAAAGGCCCUUUACCAAUCAGAGAGCACAAAAAGGCCAAAGAAUGUUAUAAAGACAAGGGUGUCUGUGUUGGUUAGUAGAUGGAGUCCCAAGAUGGGCUCAUAAGAAAAGCUAGUCCUUUGUGAAGGCUCAUAAUAUUAUGUAUAUGUUAUGUUUCAAAUUUUAUUCUGCAUAUUGUGUUAUUUUAACUUACCAGUGUUUUUUUGAUAAAAUAAGAGGAAAAUAAAUUCAUAGAAAAGUUGCAGUUUGCAUUGCAUAACCAACCAGACCUAACCAAUUUUUCUGGGUCACUCAAAACUGCUGAAGAAAAGAAAGCAGCAGUGAGCAAUCCAUAAAAAUUUCCAGCAAAUAUAGAAUAAGAAUUUUUAUAGGAUAAAAGUACUACACCCCAUAGGGGUAGAAAAUCAGUAGCCUUCCAGGAGGACUUUAGAGGGAGUUGGCUCGCAUUUGGGAGAAAAGGUGGAGGAAACCCAAAAAACUCCACCUGACCAGCUAGGGAAAGACCAAAAACUUAGUUGAGAUACCCAACUAAGUACAGAAUGCUUAAUAAAGACAUAGGGCAACAAACAACCAAUCUCUUCCGAACAGUAUUUACUUAUUUAUUUCUUGAAUAAAAAUUAUGAAGUUUUAAAAUAUAUUUGGACUUGAAUGUUUUGAGUAACCUAGAAUUUAAUACUGCUAUAACAUUUUCU
This is a long non-coding RNA of Centruroides sculpturatus (bark scorpion), 1139 nucleotides long. RefSeq lists it as uncharacterized. The transcript is spliced from 3 exons. The record is from RefSeq and is a predicted model, not a curated record. Lineage: Eukaryota; Metazoa; Arthropoda; Arachnida; Scorpiones; Buthidae.